GUUUGAACACUUUGAAUCGAUAAGUUACUAUCAUAAGCAUAUGUUUAUAAAUAUGUCUGAAUUAAUACCUGUUGAUCAUUAUCUCCUAUUUCAACGUUUAUCGGACUUUCUAUAUUUGUCUUAAAAACAGGGCAAUCACCAACUUUGGAAUAUACAUAUUGUAGUCCUGGUGUCAUCUCUGCAUAUGUGCUCAUUUCAACACCCUCAAAAAUUACUUCGAAC
Molecule: long non-coding RNA, 222 nt
Filed under: Mytilus galloprovincialis (Mediterranean mussel)
Lineage: Eukaryota; Metazoa; Mollusca; Bivalvia; Mytilida; Mytilidae
Source: RNAcentral